AAACCAGCACCUCAAGUGGUCAGGAUGAUUAUUGGGCCUAAAGCAUCCGUAGCCGGCUCAGUAAGUUUUCGGUUAAAUCUGUACGCUCAACGUACAGGCUGCCGGGAAUACUGCAGAGCUAGGGAGUGGGAGAGGUAGACGGUACUCGGGAGGAAGUGGUAAAAUGCUUUGAUCUGUCGAUGACCACCUGUGGCGAAGGCGGUCUACCAGAACACGUCCGACGGUGAGGGAUGAAAGCUGGGGGAGCAAACCGGAUUAGAAACCCCGGUAGUCC
This 274-nucleotide ribosomal RNA is filed under the name uncultured bacterium. Its description in RNAcentral is "partial 16S ribosomal RNA". It matches the Rfam family "Archaeal small subunit ribosomal RNA", at positions 473 to 747 of the family's 1478-position model. The record is from RNAcentral.